Molecule: long non-coding RNA, 228 nt
Organism: Chelonia mydas (Green sea turtle)
Lineage: Eukaryota; Metazoa; Chordata; Testudines; Cheloniidae
Exons: 3
Source: RefSeq, a predicted model, not a curated record
CAUCAGAAGCAGGAAGCUGCUAAACAACCAGUGGGGCCACUGGAUGAUCGAGAUGGUAAAGGAGCACUCAAAGACGGAAAGGCCAUUGCAGAGAAACUAAAUGAAUUCUUUGCAUCGAACUUCACGGUGGAGGAUAUGAGGGGGAUUCCCACACCUGAGCCAUUCUUUGUAGGUGACAAAUCUGAGGAACUGUCCCACAUUGAAGUGUCAUUAGAGGAGGAUUUGGAA